AACAAGGCGAUAGUAAUUCAGUGAAUAGAGCUUGUACAGGACAUAAACACCUCUUUGACCAAUAAUUGAUGUGUAUUGGUUGAAUAACAAAACGACCCUUAUUUAUUGUUACCCUGGCAACCCGCCGUGUUUGAUUGACGUUUGAUUUAAUAAUUCUGAUACAACUCAUAAUUCUAAUCUAAUAGAAACUCCAAAACCUCAGACAAAGAGGACUAGAAUUUUACAUAAAAAGCCGCGUUCUGCAGUACAAAAGUUAGAAGAGGCAUCUCAAAUAGUGGAAAGUGCCAAACUCCGCAACACGGUAGUGUUCCAGUGUUUGCAGAAAGAGCACGAAACAAAACAAAGGCAGAUGGC
Long non-coding RNA from Pieris napi, 354 nucleotides. RefSeq lists it as uncharacterized. The record is from RefSeq and is a predicted model, not a curated record. NCBI's taxonomy places the organism in Eukaryota, Metazoa, Arthropoda, Insecta, Lepidoptera, Pieridae. The transcript has 3 exons.